RNAcentral lists this transfer RNA (58 nucleotides) under Anadara broughtonii. RNAcentral's name for it is "Scapharca broughtonii tRNA-Asn". The record is from RNAcentral. Lineage: Eukaryota; Metazoa; Mollusca; Bivalvia; Arcoida; Arcidae. RNAcentral also lists the same sequence under 1 other name.
UUUAAAGUUUAAAAUUUUAGUUUAUUAAACUAAUUUUUAUUUGAAAAAUGCUUUAGUG